RNAcentral lists this ribosomal RNA (376 nucleotides) under uncultured eukaryote. RNAcentral's name for it is "partial 18S ribosomal RNA". It matches the Rfam family "Eukaryotic small subunit ribosomal RNA", at positions 592 to 976 of the family's 1831-position model. The record is from RNAcentral.
CAAGAGCGUAUAUUAAAGUUGCUGCGGUUAAAAAGCUCGUAGUUGGAUUUCAGUCUAGGAAGGUUAACUCGCCGAAAGGUUGUACGUUGAUUUUCCUCAGACUUCGUCAGAAGCUCGUGCUGCACUUGACUGUGUGGUACGAUGUUCUGACCUUUUACCUUGAGGAAAGUAGAGUGUUUCAGGCAGGCUACCCAGCUUGAAUACAUUAGCAUGGAAUAAUGAAAUGGAUCUCGGUUCGAUUUCGUUGGUUCUAGAGCUGAGGUGAUGAUCAAUAGGAACAGGCGAAGGUAUUCGUACUUGAGAGUGAGGAGUGAAAUCCGAUGAUCUCUUAAAGACGAUCCGAGGCGAAAGCAUUUGUCAAGGAUGUUUUCAUUGA